This 303-nucleotide ribosomal RNA is filed under the name uncultured bacterium. Its description in RNAcentral is "bacterial SSU rRNA". It matches the Rfam family "Bacterial small subunit ribosomal RNA", at positions 355 to 674 of the family's 1533-position model. The record is from RNAcentral.
UCGGGAAUAUUGCGCAAUGGAGGAAACUCUGACGCAGUGACGCCGCGUAUAGGAAGAAGGUUUUCGGAUUGUAAACUAUUGUCGUUAGGGAAGAAAAAAGACAGUACCUAAGGAGGAAGCUCCGGCUAACUACGUGCCAGCAGCCGCGGUAAUACGUAGGGAGCGAGCGUUAUCCGGAUUUAUUGGGUGUAAAGGGUGCGUAGACGGGUAAGCAAGUUAGUUGUGAAAUCCCUCGGCUUAACUGAGGAACUGCAACUAAAACUGCAUAUCUUGAGUACAGGAGAGGUAAGUGGAAUUCCUAGU